This 3646-nucleotide long non-coding RNA is filed under the name Paramuricea clavata. Lineage: Eukaryota; Metazoa; Cnidaria; Anthozoa; Malacalcyonacea; Plexauridae. The record is from RNAcentral.
AGAUAUUCUCGCGAUAUUGUUACUCAAUAUCGUCCUGUCGGGACGCGUCUUUACUUCUCCAUUGAAAGUCAUGUUCACACCCUGAUUAAUGCCAUUAGAUAUGCAAAUCUUUGUGACGUAAGUACAGUGACAUCUCUUCGAUUGCAAAAGCUUGUAGCACGUACGCACGUGCACACGCGCAAAUCGUUAUAGAUCGGUAAACAAGUUGUAACAAUAUAUCACGAUGUGUUUGAUGUGUUCCUGGUUGUUGUGACAACUUUGGAACAAGUUAUUAUCACCUUGUCACGAGGUUGAUGGCGGUAACAGACUCGCUACAAGUUGUUCCAACAAGACUAAUACAGGCUCGUUGUAACCAACUUUCUAGCAAUUUGUUACGUGCAGACGAUAUAAGACUUAUUGGAACAACUUGUUACGAGUCUGUUGGCCUCUCAUCGACCUGGUUACAAGAUGAUGACAACUUGUCCAAGACUAGUCAUCAACUGGGAACAAGCAGUGUGAACACAUGCAUUUGGUUUUUAACCGUGUCUUAUUCUAGAUGCUGACUGUUCUACUCCUUCUCCAAAAUUCACAUAAUUCCAAUCUUUGAUUUAAAUAAAAUAAGUUCGGUGGCCGAAGUGGUUAGCGCACUUGCCUUUGACCUCCAAGACCGCAGGUCCAAAUCUCAGAGCGAACUUUCUCAACGCGACUCGAACCUUCCCAACGCGACUCGAACCCAGUCCCCACGCUAAAAGAGCAAAAGGCAACGCGCCGCCGAAAGUCGUGGACCCCUUCGGGUACUCCGGUCUCCCCCACAGGGAACGUUGACAGGGUGGGUUAGGUAAAAGGGUCCACAGUACAGUAAUUGGCAUAUGCUGCUGUGGUGACCCUGCCCUAGUUGGCAAAGCUAAUACAAUAAGACAAAAACUUGCUCUAUGCUCGUCUAAACAAAUGUUUAAGAGGUAUUUCUUUUCAAUGUAUUUGCGAUGAAAAGGGUUCAGAACCUAAAAUCUAUUUGGGGUUCCUUUCAAAAUUACUUUGUUUUAGCUUUAUUUUGUAAUUUACACAGUUUGCAACCUUUUUAAAUGCAUCUGGCGUUUGAGAAACGCAAAAUAAUAGUUAAAUAUUGUCAAUUCAAAUACAGUUAUUAUUAAUGCUGUAUUUAUACAGCCAUACAAGCAAAACUCACUGAACUUCAGACAUCAUUUUCUCUUGCAUGGUUGAGUUACUCGCCCUAUAUCACCUCAUAUUUCAAAAUUUUCCAUUGCAUUCCUUUACCGAUAUCUUUCUCCGUUCUUGAAAUUAUUGACCAAAAACAAUGGACUGCUUGCCAACGCGGAUGGACUGUCUACCAUCUUUUGAUUAACGAUUUCUUUGGCAACGUGGAAAACAGCAUUAAUGAAGGCUAAGUAUGUAACUAUGGGAAAACGUAAUACUUGACGUCAAGCGCUUUUGAUCAUAAUUAUUCACAUGUAAAUUUGCGCCAUAACGAAAUGUUAGUAUUAUUUUUUUCUUUUUUGACAGAAACAUUGCGUGUGAUUUACGGCGAUACAAGACCACCUGAAGCGAAAGAAAAUAUACAAAAAUGACAACUACAGUACUGCUGCCAGAACGUCGAACAGCCCAAAGAGAUGCAGGAGCGACCAUUUCUUCCACCAGACAUCACACCAAAGAUGAUGCAACAAAAAACAUGAUCAUAAGUCAUAUACUUAUGCAUUGUAUGUUUUCAAUAUGUCGAUGGCAUCGCAAAUUUUUUCAAUAUAAAGGAUCAGUCCUCUAUAUUUAAGAAUUUGUGACGCGAAGCUACAAAUCUAAGUCGUUACUAAUAGUGAUUGAGGACCGUAAUUUGAAGCAAGAAAAGUUUCGGAACACUAUACCUGCAAGUUGCCAGUCCUAACUGGCACCCCCAAUAUUUCGGGGCGAACUGUCUACCGCCGAUGCGAAAUUUUGAACCUGUUCGUUUUCAAGGCUGUAUCAAAACUAUGCCUGUUUAUCCCUAUGAUUAAUAUAAAUAAUAUAUUUCGUUUUCGACGUCUUAGAUAUUUAUAUAAUUAUCACCUCUCUUUUAGGCUGUCUGAAGACUGUGGGAAGCUACAAAGUCCAGUUGUCUAACUGUGACCGCAAGUUCAUAUAUAUAUACAUAGGCCUACUCUGGGCAUGCCAAACUCUGGGUAUGACAUUUUUAACUACAAAUCCAUUCAACAAUUACUUAUAUCGAGUGAUGUGCCCAAAAUCCUGAAAUUAACCCAUACACAUGCAUCGAGUUAAUGGCUACGCGAAUUGUAUGGUGAACAAAAAGGUGAACAAAAAUGCUUUCAAAAUUUCUGUACAAUUGGAAAUAUGCCUAUCUGCAGAGAAAUUAAAUUACUUUUCAUUUCUUCAAGUCCUUUCAUGACUCUUUCCAACCUACUCAACUACAAUAUUUUUUAUUAAUUUAUCCUGAACAAGUUGUAGCUGAGUUGAUUCGAGCCAUGUACGGCAGAAUUCAACAAGUCGAGUCUGGGCUGUCGACUCGAGUCGAGUUUUUUGUUUCAUGUUCAACUCGAGUGGCAGAAAAUUGGGACUCUAGUCCGAGUCAAUGACUCGACUCGUUACAACACUGCCUUAGUCAUGAACUUGCGGUACAUGAACGUGGCAGCCACAACAAAAGAGAGGAAAUAACGGGAAAAGAUUUCAAAUAUUGCUUUGACUAAACAAACAGGUAUUUCGACGAUGUAUAUGCCCAAUCUAAAUUUGACAGUAUAUACUUAUUUCACUAUAUAUUGCCAGUCACUGUUUCAAAGCAGUGUCUGUGUCUGUGUCCCAUUACACAUCUUUCCAGAACGUAUUUGCAAAUGUUCCAGAACAGUAAAUGGAGCUUUGUUACAGUACAAGCCAUGUAAACCGAGGUACGGUUGUGUUUAGAGAAUGAACGUUAAAUGAAGUGGUAGUAAACAUUUCUGAACCGUUCUGGAAAGAUUGUUUAAUGUGCUCCUGGUGUGUCACACAAUAAUUGUACAACAGAAUUUAAUGCAUUGUCUAUUUAUUUACUUACUAACCCAAACAACUUUAAACUUUGACUUUUACAAGCAAGCCAUGUCGCAGCUUUUCAGAAGACCUCUCUCCAAAACACUUCCAAGCGACUGCAAAGCUAGCCUUACAAAGUCACUACAAUCAUAUUAUUAUGUACGCCUCUAUAUAAGCCUUAUGCAAGUCUCGACUAGCAUUGACGCUAUAUAAACCAGCCAUUCAUUACAAAUCAUAGCAUGCAACUCACGACAUACUGAUGCAAAUCAUGCGCUACAAAAGUUACUACAAAUCCUUAAAACAUGUUCACUACAAGCAUAAUUUUUGAAGUCAUGCACUACAAGUAAUAAAUUAAGAUUUUUAUGUCUGUAAAUGACAUGGCGAUAUCUAGUUAGCUAGCUUUAAAACUAAUACUAAUUUUAUUAAUUUUAAUAACGUUACACAAUGCAAAAAAAUGAGAGCCGUUGGUUUUCAUGAGGAGGAUUUGGGUGGUGAGUACAGUGUUACUAGUUUAAAUAUCCACGAUCGGCAUUAUGUACCGUAAAUGAUCUAAUUAACGCCUGGUCGUUUGUUUAAUUGCCAAUUGGCAUUUUGACUAUGCGGUCAAAAUUUUUUGAUUUUUUGAUUUUGUUUUAAUUAGUAAUUUAUAUGUUUUUGUAUUCAC